RNAcentral lists this ribosomal RNA (468 nucleotides) under uncultured bacterium. RNAcentral's name for it is "partial 16S ribosomal RNA". It matches the Rfam family "Bacterial small subunit ribosomal RNA", at positions 28 to 507 of the family's 1533-position model. The record is from RNAcentral.
GACGAACGCUGGCGGCGUGCUUAACACAUGCAAGUCGAACGGAAAGGCCCUGCUUUUGUGGGGUGCUCGAGUGGCGAACGGGUGAGUAACACGUGAGUAACCUGCCCUUGACUUUGGGAUAACUUCAGGAAACUGGGGCUAAUACCGGAUAGGAGCUCCUGCUGCAUGGUGGGGGUUGGAAAGUUUCGGCGGUUGGGGAUGGACUCGCGGCUUAUCAGCUUGUUGGUGGGGUAGUGGCUUACCAAGGCUUUGACGGGUAGCCGGCCUGAGAGGGUGACCGGCCACAUUGGGACUGAGAUACGGCCCAGACGCCUACGGGAGGCAGCAGUGGGGAAUAUUGCACAAUGGGCGGAAGCCUGAUGCAGCAACGCCGGGUGCGGGAUGACGGCCUUCGGGUUGUAAACCGCUUUCGCCUGUGACGAAGCGUGAGUGACGGUAAUGGGUAAAGAAGCACCGGCUAACUACGUG